AGAGAUAGCUCGACCCAAAUCUUAGAGAACUAAGUAUCCUUCCUUUGCAGUAGUUGGAAGCAUCGAUCAUCAUGAAAUCAUCAAAGUGGUUGGAAAGGUUGUGAUCAGCCUGAUCUGGGCGUGCGGUACGUCCCAAACGGGCCAGGAAAGAUAGGCUAAGUCCGAAAUCUGAUUCUUCUCGAUGAUCAUGGGUUCUGGCUUGACUGUUGGCUCUAGAAUGGCGAAUGGGUCGGGGAAGAACGCCUGUGGUUUGGCUGAUUCGAUCAUCAGGUCGUGGAUCCAUCCUUAGGUCAUGUCCGGGUGCACGCGGGUCGAUCCGGUACACGGCUCUGUCCGUUGAUCUGGUACGGUUGAAUGGCUGAACCUCAGUUGGACUGAUCUGAUCGUCC
RNAcentral lists this long non-coding RNA (389 nucleotides) under Brassica rapa (field mustard). RNAcentral describes it as "long non-coding RNA (BRAP_LNC008785)". The record is from RNAcentral. Lineage: Eukaryota; Viridiplantae; Streptophyta; Magnoliopsida; Brassicales; Brassicaceae.